CAAAAUUCUGUCCAAAUUUUCUGUUUGAUAGUUUUAUUGUUUCUGAAAUUCAAAUUAAUAUUUACCCACCGUUGUAAUGAAAGGACACCUCUCAUUCCUUUCACCAUAAUCUUUACCUUCUCAACGAGAGGAUAUUCCGAAGAUUUAAUCAUUAGAUUUCAGUAUAUUGCAUUUCUUUUAGGAUUCUCGCCUAUAAAACCCUAAUCCCACCCAACGCUCCAAAAAAUUUCAAUGGCGUUAACUAGAAGCGUCGACUGUCAAUUGAAAUUGAAGGAAAAUGAUUCAAUUCGGAAAAAUAAUAAAAGGAAACGAUUUUCAAGCCAACAAAAAUCUUGGCCACGAAUGGGAAACAAUAUUUGGCUUCGGGUCUGUUAGGAAUUCGAAUUCCAAGAAGGUAAUACGCUAUACAUAGACGUAUAUGUGUUUAAUCCCGUUACUUUUUAUCUAGGGCAUUGUUUAAUUUGUACGUUGAUUAGGCACUGUUUACCAUGUAAUUUUACAUUGGGGGUGGCUUCAAUAUGUUCUUACUUAUUUGUUAAUCCCUUAACUUUUUGAAUUACGCUAUAUUCUAUAUGGGUUUUCCUCUACUUGGCAUCAAUUUACGUUGAACUAUGUGAAUAUGUGUAAUACUUCUCUUCUAUGCAUUAUUUCUGAUCCUUCUGUAAUAGGGCUGCUUGUUGGGAUGUUGCUUUAUUCUAAUUUUUAGAUUUUCUUGCGUUCAAGUUGCAAUUGUACUUGUAUUGUUUUUCGAAGAAACAUUGUGGCUUCUUGUUCAAUUCUAUGUAUUUAGGUUUUAAUUAUUUUAUCGAUUCUCCAGUUAUUUGAUUUAAUAUUUGUUCUUUCCGAAAUUAGUUUAAAGAUCCAUUUUUUAUUUGUUUUUAUGUCUUUUCAACUUUUCAUUGCGUGGUUGGCAAUAUAUCAUCUCCUCAGCCAACUGGUUUCUGAGGAAAAUAGCCAUUUGUUCUACCACCAACUUCAUCAUGAAUUGGUACAUAACCUGAUUAAGGAACAAGGGAUAGUUUUAAAGAUACAAGAAUUUCAUACUAUAUUAAAUUUAAUGAAUCUCAUUUCAGCCUUAGUUGAUAGACUAUGUAUUGAUGAGUAAGGUUAAGCAACCGAAUAAAGAGAUAAUGUGGUUCAAGAUUACCGACAGAUACAUCAAAUUUUCUUUGCCAGAAUUAUACUUUGUCAUCGGUCUAGAAUCAAUCGGAGAUUAUGACGGGAAGAAGUAUGGAAAAAGAUCUUCAAAUUUCAGCAUCGCAUACUAGAAAUUUUGGAUUUUAAAAAAUGCUGGUGUGAAAGAUGUUUUAAUCGGCGUAGACGGUGCAUCUGACUAUGAUGCCGUGAAAAUAGGCAUUUUAUACCUGUUUGCAUCUUACUUGUAUGUAACUCAUAAAAGAAAAUGGUUAACAAAUCUAUUUUUGCUCUUGUUGAAAAUUUCAAUGUAAUGGAGAUGAUUUUAUGGAGAAAAGAAGAUGUUCAAGACCACACUAUCAUCAAUUAGGAAAGGACUGAAAUAGGGCUGGUCACUACCAUAUGAAAUGUUUUUUGAUUACAUAUCGAGUAGUACGAGUCAGUUCUGAGUCUGAAUGGAACAUUUGCACAAGACUUCAUCGAUGGUGGCCCUGCAUCAUGAACUGGACUGGCAGAGAAGCAUCCAUCGGUAGCCAUGCUGGAGGAGGGAGUUUUUUUCAAACCUGAUAUUGAAGUUAAGGAUAUUGAUCCUUUGGGUAUUGAGUUGGUGAUGGGAUAUGACUGGAGUUACUUAUAUGUCCCCUCAAUAACCAUAUUUGAUCAAGUAUGUUGAUGUUGAAGAACACCCGUGCAAAGUCUCAACAUGAAUUCAAACUCCUCAUUAAGUAGCACUCAUCUGGAUAUAUGCUUUUAUUACAUCCAUCAAUUGGCAAGAUUCGAGGAUAAUGCUCAAAUGCAUUUUUGAGUCUAGGUCACCAACUUCCUAGACCUUCCGACACUGGGCAGACAUCAGCUCCCAUACAUGGUCUUACGUGGUAACUUUCAAAUUUAGAAAAACCCUGGAAUUAAUAAAAAUGGGCAAUCCUGAGCCAAAUCUUGUUUUCCCAAACUAAAGCUUUUCUCUUUUAUUCUGUACUAAUUGCUGUGGCUUAGUGACAUUUUUGGAGUAAGGAGAGGGGUAAGAUUAAGGAUGUACAUUCGGCGUGGCUCACAUUUUGGAGGUCUAGUUGACAUGACUUAAAAUUCUU
Molecule: long non-coding RNA, 2222 nt
Organism: Olea europaea var. sylvestris
Lineage: Eukaryota; Viridiplantae; Streptophyta; Magnoliopsida; Lamiales; Oleaceae
Exons: 4
Source: RefSeq, a predicted model, not a curated record